AAGCCAAUGAUGAUUUCUGUUUCUGUUGGAAUUACCGGCUGAAUACUUUACAUUGAUGUCAAUUCUUACUGGCUGUAUCUGAGGCUUCCA
Rhodamnia argentea is the source of this 90-nucleotide small nucleolar RNA. NCBI's taxonomy places the organism in Eukaryota, Viridiplantae, Streptophyta, Magnoliopsida, Myrtales, Myrtaceae. The record is from RefSeq and is a predicted model, not a curated record.